AUUGAACGCUGGCGGCAGGCCUAACACAUGCAAGUCGAGCGGAUGAAGGGAGCUUGCUCCUGGAUUCAGCGGCGGACGGGUGAGUAAUGCCUAGGAAUCUGCCUGGGAGUGGGGGAUAACGUCCGGAAACGGGCGCUAAUACCGCAUACGUCCUGAGGGAGAAAGUGGGGGAUCUUCGGACCUCACGCUAUCAGAUGAGCCUAGGUCGGAUUAGCUAGUUGGUGGGGUAAAGGCCUACCAAGGCGACGAUCCGUAACUGGUCUGAGGGGAUGAUCAGUCACUCAGAAGCUGAGAAGCGGCCCGGGCUCUGAGGGAAGGCACAGUUGGGUAAUGUUGGCAGCUGGGGGAAAGCUUGCACAAGCCGUGCAGGGUUUGUGAAGAAGGCCUGCGAGUGGUAAGGCCCUUUACGUGGGGAGAAAGGCCGUUAGGUUAAACCCUGCCUGUUUGACGGUAACCACCAAAGAAGCCACGGCUAACUUCGUG
This 483-nucleotide ribosomal RNA is filed under the name uncultured bacterium. RNAcentral's name for it is "partial 16S ribosomal RNA". It matches the Rfam family "Bacterial small subunit ribosomal RNA", at positions 30 to 507 of the family's 1533-position model. The record is from RNAcentral.